GGAGGAGUGGCCGAGCGGUUUAAGGCGGUGGUCUUGAAAACCACUGUGCCGUAACUGGCACCGGGGGUUCGAAUCCCUCCUCCUCCGCCA
This 90-nucleotide transfer RNA is filed under the name Acidobacteriota bacterium. RNAcentral's name for it is "tRNA-Ser". It matches the Rfam family "tRNA". From Rfam's summary of the family: Transfer RNA (tRNA) molecules are approximately 80 nucleotides in length. Their secondary structure includes four short double-helical elements and three loops (D, anti-codon, and T loops). The record is from RNAcentral. Lineage: Bacteria; Pseudomonadati; Acidobacteriota.